This 433-nucleotide ribosomal RNA is filed under the name uncultured bacterium. RNAcentral's name for it is "bacterial SSU rRNA". It matches the Rfam family "Bacterial small subunit ribosomal RNA", at positions 29 to 506 of the family's 1533-position model. The record is from RNAcentral.
ACGAACGCUGGCGGCAGGCUUAACACAUGCAAGUCGAGCGCGCCCUUCGGGGUGAGCGGCGAACGGGUGAGUAACGCGUGGGAACGUGCCCCUUUCUUCGGAAUAGCCUCGGGAAACUGGGAGUAAUGCCGAAUACGCCCCUUACGGGGGAAAGAUUUAUCGGAGAGGGAUCGGCCCGCGUUGGAUUAGGUAGUUGGUGGGGUAAUGGCCUACCAAGCCGACGAUCCAUAGCUGGUUUGAGAGGAUGAUCAGCCACACUGGGACUGAGACACGGCCCAGACUCCUACGGGAGGCAGCAGUGGGGAAUCUUGGACAAUGGGGGCAACCCUGAUCCAGCCAUGCCGCGUGAUCGAUGAAGGCCUUAGGGUUGUAAAGAUCUUUCAGCUGGGAAGAUAAUGACGGUACCAGCAGAAGAAGCCCCGGCUAACUCCGU